AUGCAAAAGCCUCAGUAUCUGGAUGCGGCUUAUGAGCUUGCCUUACUUCAUGAGGAGUUGAGUGAAUCAUGUGCUUCUGUACCUGCUCCUCAGUACACCAGAAAAUACAGCUCCACAACUCUAGUUUCUUCUGUUAAAACAAUUGUUUCUGAUAAUGUUGUUGUUUCUGUCUCGUCUAAGUCUCCUUCACAUGAUGAUAAAUGGGAAACUCUUAGAGCAUUUAGGAAAUCCAAGGGUUUAUGUUUUAUUUGUGGUGAGAAACGGUCCAAAGAUCUCCAGUGUAAGAGCUCAAUGCAGUUGCAUUUUGUCCAGGAACUUAUUGAUCAUCUGGAUUCAGUUUCUUCUGUUUCUUGUGGAGAAGAUGGGUACGUUUCUGAAGGGCAUGUUAUGCCUAUCUCUGUAUCAGCUUUAGGCACAACAAUUUCUACUCAUACUGUCCAAUUGUUGGUGGAUUCUGGCAGUACUAAUUCCUUCCUAGAUGUUUCUCUACAGUCUGAAUUACAGGGUGUGUUACCAGUCUUCGCUUCUGCAGUUCGAGUAGCUGGUGGUACUCAGCUAACCUACAAGGCACAGUUAAAAAAUUGUAAGUGGACCUCUGCUACUAUAGAGUUUCAGACGGAUUUCAAGUUUUUACCCUUGGGUGUCUAUGGUGGUGCAUUGGGUGUGGAUUGGUUAAGUUUGCACAGUCCCAUGCAAAUAGAGUGGUCUAAAAAGUGGAUGUCCUUUAUGUAUCUGAAUGAAUUGGUCCCGCUACAAGGUCUGCUACCCCAUGAUAGUACAUUUGUUGUUGUGUUCCUGUCAGCACUUAUUUCUCCAGAUGCAACUGAUCCAGUUCUAGCAGAAGUUCAGGCAGUAUUGGAUCAAUUUGAGGUUCUGUUUUAUGUUCCUGAUGGAUUACCUCCUAGAAGAUAUUGCGAUCAUCAAAUUCCUCUGAUCCAUGACGCAAGACCAGUCACUGUGAGACUUUAUAGACUGGCUCCUCAUCUUAACACUGAACUGGAAAACCAGGUUGCUGAAUUAUUGGAGCAAGGGCGGAUUAGAGUUAGCACAAGUGCAUUUUCAUCUCCAGUCUUAUUAGUCAACAAGAAGGAUGGUACUUGA
RNAcentral lists this ribosomal RNA (1101 nucleotides) under Triticum aestivum (bread wheat). RNAcentral's name for it is "partial small subunit ribosomal RNA". Lineage: Eukaryota; Viridiplantae; Streptophyta; Magnoliopsida; Poales; Poaceae. The record is from RNAcentral.